Molecule: long non-coding RNA, 7351 nt
Filed under: Manihot esculenta (cassava)
Lineage: Eukaryota; Viridiplantae; Streptophyta; Magnoliopsida; Malpighiales; Euphorbiaceae
Description: long non-coding RNA (MESC_LNC011546)
Source: RNAcentral
AAAUGGAUUUAUAAAACAAAGUUGAACAAAGAUGGUGGAGUUGACAAAUAUAAAGCUCGCCUUGUCGUGAAGGGAUACAAUCAAGAAUUUGGAGUUGAUUACAAGGAGGUGUUUGCUCCUGUUGCAAGGCUUGACACAAUUCGGCUAGUCUUAGCCAUGGCUGCUCAAAACUUUUGGUUCAUUUAUCAAUUAGAUGUGAAGUCUGCUUUCUUAUACGGCGAAUUGAAAGAAGAGGUAUAUGUCGAUCAACCUCUUGAGUAUGUGCGGAAAGGCGAGGAGGACAAGAUAUAUAAACUCAAAAAGGCUUUAUACGGUCUAAAGCAGGCACCUAGAGCCUGGUAUAGCCGUAUAGACUCUUAUUUGGCGAAAGAAGGUUUUCAUAAAUGUCCUCAUGAACACACUCUAUUUUUAAAGCUAGAAAAUGGAAAAAUGCUCAUUUUGUGUCUUUAUGUUGAUGACCUUAUUUGUAACGACCCGAGAAUCGGACCGCUACCGGCGCUAGGGUCCAGAUCGGCUUAAGGCCGCCAGGACCCGUAGCAAGCCUGACAUGAAACCUGUAAACCUGUAUAAUCCCAUACAUGAUCAACAACAUGCAUAAAAAUUAAAACUUUUCUUUCCAUAUACCUCAACCAAACUCAACCUGUGCAUGCACUGUACAUAACAUAAACAUAAUCAUGGCCCCUCAGUGGGAUCUCAUCAAUGCCUCAAUGGGCAAAACAUCAUAUGUUGCGUUGGUUUGCAUACGCAUCAUAAAAUAUUUAAGAUCAUGUAUUAAAAGGGAUAUCUUAUACAUAUAGUCAAGCACAACCUCUAAUCCUCAGAGUCAUUACAUACCUAAAACUGUAAUUUUACAUAACAUUAAUACAUUUAUCAUGUCCACACUAUCUAUUACAUUCACAUGACUUCCUUACUCUUGUAAACCUCCUGGUCUACCCUGAACCUGCAAUCCUGGGGAAAAUGGGAGAGGGGUGAGCUACAAGAGCCCAGUGAGCAGAAUAAUAAAAACAUUUAAAUCAUAUGGAUCAUGGAAUGCAUCACAUCACAGCUAAUCACAUCAAGGAUGAACUUGUCACCAAUAUCCCUCUACAUAGUCCAACUGUGCCAGAACGUAGAAUGGGUCCUGGUCUUUCCCUUACAUAGCAUAACAUAACAGUGUCCAACUGUGCCAGAACGUAGAAUGGGUCCUGGUCUUUCUCUUACAUAGUGCCAGCGAACGUAGAAUGGGUCCCACUGGUCUUACAUUCCGUACCGUACAUAUCACAUCGUCACAUCGUAGAUCGAGGGCUAUGGAUCAUCCAACAUUCAUCCACAUCAACAUUAAAAUAUGCAAUGCAACAUAUUCGUGAAUUCUAAUGCAACAACCUAGUACAUCUCAUGGCAUUCAUGAUGCGUGAAACAUGCUGAAAGUCCAUUAUUUGCUUUAAAACAUAAUAAGUUAUUCCACUCACCUCUGGGUAGCUCUGACCAGACACUGGAGCAGCUGACUCACUGCUGGGGUCCUCGGUUCCUCGGGUCCGAACCUACACAGGUGGACUCAAAUGAGGGACCAAACAAACAUGAACAUAACUCUAAACUACUCCCCAAAAACCCCCUAAAACAUCAUGAAACAAUCAUAGAAAAACAUGCAAAAGAGGGCUGGACAGGGCACUUUCGGCGGCCGAACCUGAGUUUUCCUCCAAGGUUGUUUUCAUGCAAAAACACAUUUCCAUUUUACUUCAAACCAUGAAAUACCUUAAAACAUUUUAUGAAAACAUGAUUCUACCCUACUAGAGGCUUCCGACAUCCGAGAUUCCACCGGACGGUAGGAAUUCUGAUACCGGAGUCUAGCCGGGUAUUACAUUCUCCCCCCCUUAAGAACAUUUGUCCCCGAAUGUUUCUCAACUAGCACAUAGCAUGGCAAAAACAUAACAUACAUACAUAGCACAUAAACACAUAGAGAUCUAACCUUAAAAGAGAUGAGGGUACUGCUGGAACAUAGACUCCCGUGUCUCCCAAGUGCAUUCCUCCAAAUUGUGGUGGUUCCAUAGGACUUUCACCAUCGGGAUUUCCUUGUUCCUUAACUUCCUGAUCUGGGUGUCUAUGAUCCGUACUGGCUGUUCAACAUAGGUGAGAUCCUCUUGGACCUCCACAUCAGGCUCACAGAGAACCUUGCUCGGAUCUGACACAAACUUCUUCAACAUUGAAACAUGGAAAACAGGAUGGAUUCUUUCCAUUGAAGCAGGUAAAUCCAGCUUGUACGACACAUUCCCAAUCUUUUGCAAGAUUUCAAAGGGUCCGAUGUAUCGUGGGGCUAGUUUACCUUUCUUUCCGAAGCGAACCACUCCUUUCAUAGGAGACACCUUGAGCAAUACCAGAUCCCCCUCCUGAAACUCGACCUGUCUUCUGCGGAUGUCUGCAUAACUCUUCUGUCUGCUUGCAGCAGUCUUGAUUCUUUCUCUGAUUAUGGGUACUACCCUACUGGUAAUCUCUACUAGCUCAGGCCCUGCCAAGGCCUUUUCUCCAACCUCUUCCCAGCAAACAGGUGAUCUGCACUUCCUUCCAUAUAAAGCUUCAUAUGGAGCCAUCCCGAUGCUCGUAUGAUGGCUGUUAUUGUAGGCAAACUCCACCAAAGGUAGAUGCUGCCUCCAAGAACCGCCAAAGUCCAGCACACACAUUCUGAGCAUAUCCUCUAUGGUCUGGAUGGUCCUUUCUGAUUGCCCGUCCGUCUGUGGAUGGAAAGCAGUGCUAAAAUCCAACCUAGUACCCAUGGCGUUCUGCAGACUCCGCCAAAAUCUGGAGGUGGACUAAGGCCCUCUAUCGGACACUAUUGAAACAGGAACCCCAUGCAGCCUUACGAUCUCAUCGACAUACACCUGCGCCAACUUAUCCACAGAAUAGCCACUCCUGACAGGGAUGAAGUGAGCAGAUUUGGUGAGUCUGUCCACAAUCACCCAUAUGGAGUCCAAUCUGUUGGACGUCGCCGGUAACCCCACUACGAAGUCCAUAGCUAUAUUUUCCCAUUUCCAUUCUGGAAUAGGUAGCGGGUUAAGCAUUCCAGCUGGCUUCUGAUGUUCCAGCUUCACCCUCUGACACACUUCGCAGGCUGACACAAACUGUUCCACUUCUUUCUUCAUAGCUGGCCACCAAUAAACCUUCUUUAGAUCUUGAUACAUCUUGGUGGCUCCGGGGUGAAUGCUGUAUCUUGCAUUAUGAGCCUCUCUCAUAAUGUCUCCUUUUAGCCCUAUGUCAUCUGGUACACAUAGUCGACUCCCAUAGCGGAGGAUCCCCUUGCUGUCGAAUCUGAACUCACUAUCAUUGCCUGACUGAACAGUCCUGGCAAUCUUCAGUAACUCCGGGUCCUCAUGCUGUUUCUGAGCCACCUGCUCCAGAAACACGGGUGCCACUCUCAUCUGGGCCACCAAGGCACCUGUACCAGAUAACUCCAUUUGUAGACCCUCCUCAACAAGCCUGUAAAACUCCUUCACCACUGGCCUCCUCUCUGCCGAUAUGUGGGAUAAACUGCCGAGUGAUUUCCGGCUUAAGGCUUCCCCCACAACAUUCGCCUUACCCGGAUGGUACUGAAUCUUGCAAUCAUAGUCACUCAGCAGCUCCACCCAUCUUCUCUGUCUCAAGUUCAAAUCUCUUUGACUCAAGAUGUACUGUAGGCUCUUAUGAUCCGUAAAGAUCUCACAUUUAACCCCAUAGAGGUAGUGCCUCCACAUCUUGAGUGCAAAGAUUACUGCUACCAUCUCCAGGUCAUGUGUGGGGUAAUUUAACUCAUGCUUCUUCAGCUGCCUAGAAGCAUAAGCAAUCACCCUUUCAUUUUGCAUUAACACACAACCCAAACCCACUCGGGAUGCAUCACAGAAGACCGUGAAGUCUUCACUGCUGGCUGGCAAAGCUAACACUGGUGCCGAAGUCAACCUCCUCUUAAGCUCUUCAAAACUUUCUUCGCACUGGUCGGUCCACACAAACUUCUGAUUCUUCCUGGUUAGCCUGGUCAGAGGAGCUGCAAUUUUCGAGAAGUCCUGGACGAACCUCCUGUAGUAACCUGCCAAACCCAAGAAACUUCUAAUCUCUGACACUGAAGUGGGUCUAGGCCAGUUAGCCACAGCUUCUACCUUCUUGGGGUCUACCUCUAUACCAUUUUCUGACACCACAUGCCCCAAGAAUGAAAUGCUCCUCAGCCAGAACUCACACUUAGAGAACUUGGCAUACAAGCCAUGUUCCCUCAAGGUCUGCAGAACCAACCUCAGAUGAUGGGCAUGAUCCUCUGCGUUCCUGAAAUACACUAAGAUAUCAUCUAUGAAGACAAUAACAAAGUGAUCCAGGUAUUGGCUAAAUACUUUGUUCAUGAGAUCCAUGAAUGCUGCAGGGGCGUUGGUUAACCCGAACGGCAUCACAAGGAACUCAAAAUGCCCAUAUCUGGUCCGGAAAGCUGUCUUUGGCACAUCUUCAUCCCUUAUCCUUAGCUGAUGGUACCCCGAUCUUAGAUCUAUUUUGGAGAAACAACCCGCUCCUGCUAGCUGGUCGAAUAGAUCAUCGAUCCUUGGCAGAGGGUACCUAUUUUUGGUAGUGACUUUGUUCAACUGCCUGUAGUCGAUACAAAGUCUAAGGGAUCCAUCCUUCUUCCUCACAAACAAGACCGGAGCACCCCCAAGGUGAGGUACUUUGUCGGAUGAAGCCCUUUUCUACCAGCUCUUGCAACUGCUCUUUCAACUCCUUCAACUCGGCUGAGGCCAUCCUGUAGAGAGGGAUAGAGAUCGGUCUAGCUCCAGGCACCAACUCUAUCUCGAACUCUAUCUCUCUAGCAGGUGGUAAACCUGGAAGCUCGUCUGGAAAAACAUCCUGAAAUUCUCUGACAACUGGCACCGAGGCUGGCUCCCUGACCUGACUGUCUAGCUCUCUCACAUGAGCUAAGUACCCCUGACAUCCCUUCCUAAGCAACCUACGAGCCUGAAGAGCUGAUAUCAGACCUCUAGGUGUACCACUCUUGUCUCCUCUAAAGACGACCUCUGACCCGUCCUGAUCUCUGAACCUGACUACCUUGUCCCUGCAGUCCAAGGAGCACCAUGGGUAGGUAGCCAAUCCAUCCCUAGAAUGACGUCAAAGUCUGUCAAAUCUAGAACCACAAGGUCGGCGGAGAGACAUCUUCCCUCAAUAAAAACUGGAUUGUACUGGCAGACUGACACUGCCACUGACGGGUCACACUUGGGUCCAUUGACCCAUAGGGGACACUCUAACCCAGAGACUAUCAGACCCAACCUCUCGACGACUCUCGGAGCAAUAAAUGAAUGAGAUGCACCCGGGUCCAUUAAUGCAUACACAUCAGAACACCCAAUGACGAGAUUACCUGACACCACGAUGUUGGAUGUGUUAGCCUCCUGCUGAGUCAUGGUGAAGAUCCUGGCUGGAGCUGAUGGACCUUCACCUCGGGAACCAGAAGAAGAGGCUGCCCCUCUCCCUCUACCUUUGCCACUGCCCUGAGUUGUAGCUGGAGCUGCUGGCUGUGCCACACUACCAGAAGCUGUCUGCUGGGGCUGGCCCAUAAAAGGUGCUCUAGGACACUCCCGAGCUAUGUGUCCCUCCUGUCCACAUCUGAAACAUGUAUUAGUCCCAGCUCGACACACUCCCCUGUGCGGCCUUCCACAUCUCUGGCAUUCUGUACCGUCUGAACCUAAGCUCGAGCCACCGCCAAAUCCCAGACCGAAUUUCAACUUAUUCCAAAACUUAUUCUUUUUCGGCUUCUUGGUGGUGUUAUCCCACCUCUUCUUACUUGAGCUCUGAGAAGAGAGACCUGGCCCUCCUCUGCCUAGGGUCUUAACCCCUGAAGACUGGGUCACUGACUGCUUUACUGACCCCUCAACUAUAGCACUCGCCUCCAUCCUUCGAGCCAUAUCCACCACAGUGUGGAAACUUUCCCUCUCAACUGACUGAAUCAACGAGGAGUACCUAGAAUGCAGCUUCAUAACAUAUCUCUUGGCUUUCUUCGUAUCUGUAUCUAGAGCUUGCCCUGAAAAAGGCAAUAGCUCCAAGAAUUUAUCUAUGAACUCCUCUACACUCAUGUGCUCUGUCUACCUCAGUUGCUCAAACUCAAUCAUCUUCAGUUCUCUGGAACUGUCUGGAAAAGCCCAUCCAGCGAACUCAUUUGCAAAUUCUUCCCAUGUCAUGCCGUUUAGUCUCGGGUCCACAUAACACUUGAACCAUUCCCGUGCCUUCUUGCACUUUAAAGUGAACCCUGCCAUCUGAAUGGCCCUGCUAUCAUCCGCCCCUAGCUCAUCAGUUAUUGUCUUCACUACUCUCAUAUACUCAAAGGGGUCAUCCCCUGAUUUGUAUUUGGGAGCAUCCAGCUUAAGGUAAUCUGUCAUCUUUACUUUGCUCCCACUGGCUGAGCUAGGUCUAGAAGGUUGAGUAACUAGGGCUGCUGGUUCUGUAGGUGGUGGAGGUGGGGGUGCAGCAUUCCCCGAGGUGGGGUUUGCCGGGUUUGGAUAAAAGGGUGAGGGUGGAUAAGCUGGGUACUGUGUGUAAGGUGGAUAGAAAGGUGGAUAAGGCAUGUAGGUAGGGUAGGGGUUAAAGCUGGAAUAAUCCGAUGUGCCUCCCAUCGGAUACCCUGAACCCUAUGGGAAGGGUGGAUAAUGGGGUGGAAAACCAUACCCCAAGGCUUGAACGCCUCCCUGAGACUCCCCUGUCCCUUCUUCCUCCAUGCUCACAUCCAGGUUCCCAUCCCUCCUCUGAUCCUCUUCCAUAACCUCCCUCACAUAUGAAGAACUCCUCCUCUAUCAGUCCCCCUUCUGCUAGCAUCAAAAGACCUUCUAGGGUCCCUUGACACUCUUUCUCUGUUUGCUCUACAAGACAUUGCCCUAGGCAAUGUAGGAGGACGGGCGCUCGUGCCCUCAUCCUCAGGUGGCACUCCAGUCAAUCGUGCAGAUCGACGAGUUCCUCUCAUCCUGUUUUCUGAAAAACAGUACACAUCACACAAACAUUAGCAUCAUAUGGUUCAUGUGGGCACACAUGAACCCUCAUCACAUACACAUCAUUCAUAUCAUAGCAUCAAUGCACAUGUAUAUAAUCAUGGCAUUUCACCUCAUCAUACAAGACAGGACUCCACAUCCUAUCCUAGUGGACAUGAUCUUUCCUAUUGUGCUUGACCUUCUAUAAUAUUUAUGAGCCCGACACUCUAGGUCCGAUCCUAUGAACCUAGGGCUCUGAUACCAUUCUGUAACGACCCGAGAAUCGGACCGCUACCGGCGCUAGGGUCCAGAUCGGCUUAAGGCCGCCGGGACCCGUAGCAAGCCUGACAUGAAACCUGUAAACCUGUAUAAUCCCAUACAUGAUCAACAACAUGCAUAAAAAUUAAAACUUUUCUUUCCAU